GAUGAACGCUGGCGGCGUGCCUAAUACAUGCAAGUCGAGCGAACAGACGAGGAGCUUGCUCCUCUGACGUUAGCGGCGGACGGGUGAGUAACACGUGGAUAACCUACCUAUAAGACUGGGAUAACUUCGGGAAACCGGAGCUAAUACCGGAUAAUAUAUUGAACCGCAUGGUUCAAUAGUGAAAGACGGUUUUGCUGUCACUUAUAGAUGGAUCCGCGCCGCAUUAGCUAGUUGGUAAGGUAACGGCUUACCAAGGCAACGAUGCGUAGCCGACCUGAGAGGGUGAUCGGCCACACUGGAACUGAGACACGGUCCAGACUCCUACGGGAGGCAGCAGUAGGGAAUCUUCCGCAAUGGGCGAAAGCCUGACGGAGCAACGCCGCGUGAGUGAUGAAGGUCUUCGGGUCGUAAAACUCUGUUAUUAGGGAAGAAAAAAUGUGUAAGUAACUAUGCCCGUCUUGACGGUACCUAAUCAGAAAGCCACGGCUAACUACGUG
RNAcentral lists this ribosomal RNA (497 nucleotides) under uncultured bacterium. Its description in RNAcentral is "partial 16S ribosomal RNA". It matches the Rfam family "Bacterial small subunit ribosomal RNA", at positions 28 to 507 of the family's 1533-position model. The record is from RNAcentral.